CCUGUUGGUGACGACGAGGUUGUUGCUCAUAUUCUCAAUGGCCUAGACUUUGAUUAUCAUCUGUUCGUGUCCUCUAUGCUUGGCUGUGGUGAUUCAAUUUCGCUCUCAAAUCUUUACUCUCAAUUGAUGGAGUAUGAUC
Molecule: small nucleolar RNA, 139 nt
Filed under: Setaria italica (foxtail millet)
Lineage: Eukaryota; Viridiplantae; Streptophyta; Magnoliopsida; Poales; Poaceae
Description: Small nucleolar RNA Z247
Rfam family: Small nucleolar RNA Z247
About the family: Z247 is a member of the C/D class of snoRNA which contain the C (UGAUGA) and D (CUGA) box motifs. Most of the members of the box C/D family function in directing site-specific 2'-O-methylation of substrate RNAs.
Source: Rfam by way of RNAcentral